RNAcentral lists this ribosomal RNA (307 nucleotides) under uncultured cyanobacterium. Its description in RNAcentral is "bacterial SSU rRNA". It matches the Rfam family "Bacterial small subunit ribosomal RNA", at positions 440 to 761 of the family's 1533-position model. The record is from RNAcentral. Lineage: Bacteria; Bacillati; Cyanobacteriota.
CAGGGAAGAAAAAAAUGACGGUACCUGAGGAAUAAGCAUCGGCUAACUCCGUGCCAGCAGCCGCGGUAAUACGGAGGAUGCAAGCGUUAUCCGGAAUGAUUGGGCGUAAAGGGUCCGCAGGUGGCUAUGUAAGUCUGCUGUUAAAGAAUGAGGCUUAACCUCAUCAAAGCAGUGGAAACUACACAGCUAGAGUGCGUUCGGGGUAGAGGGAAUUCCUGGUGUAGCGGUGAAAUGCGUAUAUAUCAGGAAGAACACCGGUGGCGAAAGCGCUCUGCUAGGCCGCAACUGACACUGAGGGACGAAAGCU